This 253-nucleotide ribosomal RNA is filed under the name uncultured bacterium. RNAcentral's name for it is "partial 16S ribosomal RNA". It matches the Rfam family "Bacterial small subunit ribosomal RNA", at positions 524 to 776 of the family's 1533-position model. The record is from RNAcentral.
UACAGAGGGGGCAAGCGUUAUUCGGAAUUACUGGGCGUAAAGCGUGCGCAGGCGGUUCGUUAAGUCAGCUGUGAAAGCCCCGGGCUCAACCUGGGAAUUGCGGUUGAAACUGGCGAACUAGAAUCUGGCAGAGGGGGGUGGAAUUCCACGUGUAGCAGUGAAAUGCGUAGAGAUGUGGAGGAACACCGAUGGCGAAGGCAGCCCCCUGGGCUGAGAUUGACGCUCAGGCACGAAAGCGUGGGGAGCAAACAGG